Molecule: non-coding RNA, 25 nt
Filed under: Mus musculus (house mouse)
Lineage: Eukaryota; Metazoa; Chordata; Mammalia; Rodentia; Muridae
Source: RNAcentral
UAAGAACAAAGGUUUGAUUCCCAGC